AGAACGAACGCUGGCGGCAUGCCUAAUACAUGCAAGUCGAACGAACACUUCGGUGUUAGUGGCGCACGGGUGCGUAACGCGUGGGAAUCUGCCCUUGGGUUCGGAAUAACAGUUGGAAACGACUGCUAAUACCGGAUGAUAUCGAAAGAUCAAAGAUUUAUCGCCCAGGGAUGAGCCCGCGUAGGA
RNAcentral lists this ribosomal RNA (186 nucleotides) under uncultured soil bacterium. Its description in RNAcentral is "partial 16S ribosomal RNA". It matches the Rfam family "Bacterial small subunit ribosomal RNA", at positions 26 to 240 of the family's 1533-position model. The record is from RNAcentral.